This 112-nucleotide unclassified non-coding RNA is filed under the name rhizosphere metagenome. RNAcentral's name for it is "partial ribosomal RNA internal transcribed spacer region". The record is from RNAcentral.
GAUUUAUACCAAUCUCACACUGUGAACCGUGGCUCCGGCCCAAACUUGAAUGUAAAGAAUGUAUAAUCAAUUUAAACAAAACAUAACUUUCAACAACGGAUCUCUUGGCUCU